UACGUAGGGUGCGAGCGUUGUCCGGAAUUAUUGGGCGUAAAGAGCUUGUAGGUGGCUCGUUGCGUCGGGAGUGAAAACCUGCGGCUUAACCGCAGGCCUGCUUCCGAUACGGGCGAGCUAGAGUUCGGCAGGGGAGACUGGAAUUCCUGGUGUAGCGGUGGAAUGCGCAGAUAUCAGGAGGAACACCGGUGGCGAAGGCGGGUCUCUGGGCAUGUCCUGACGCUGAGGAGCGAAAGUGUGGGGAGCGAACAGG
RNAcentral lists this ribosomal RNA (253 nucleotides) under uncultured bacterium. RNAcentral describes it as "partial 16S ribosomal RNA". It matches the Rfam family "Bacterial small subunit ribosomal RNA", at positions 524 to 776 of the family's 1533-position model. The record is from RNAcentral.